AUUGAACGCUGGCGGCAGGCCUAACACAUGCAAGUCGAACGGUAGCACAGAGAGCUUGCUCUCGGGUGACGAGUGGCGGACGGGUGAGUAAUGUCUGGGAAACUGCCCGAUGGAGGGGGAUAACUACUGGAAACGGUAGCUAAUACCGCAUAACGUCUUCGGACCAAAGUGGGGGACCUUCGGGCCUCACACCAUCGGAUGUGCCCAGAUGGGAUUAGCUAGUAGGUGGGGUAAUGGCUCACCUAGGCGACGAUCCCUAGCUGGUCUGAGAGGAUGACCAGCCACCCUGGAACUGAGACACGGUCCAGACUCCUACGGGAGGCAGCAGUGGGGAAUAUUGCACAAUGGGCGCAAGCCUGAUGCAGCCAUGCCGCGUGUAUGAAGAAGGCCUUCGGGUUGUAAAGUACUUUCAGCGGGGAGGAAGGCGGUGAAGUUAAUAGCUUCAUCGAUUGACGUUACCCGCAGAAGAAGCACCGGCUAACUCCGUGCCAGCAGCCGCCGUAA
Molecule: ribosomal RNA, 504 nt
Filed under: uncultured bacterium
Lineage: Bacteria
Description: partial 16S ribosomal RNA
Rfam family: Bacterial small subunit ribosomal RNA
Source: RNAcentral